RNAcentral lists this ribosomal RNA (253 nucleotides) under uncultured bacterium. RNAcentral's name for it is "partial 16S ribosomal RNA". It matches the Rfam family "Bacterial small subunit ribosomal RNA", at positions 524 to 776 of the family's 1533-position model. The record is from RNAcentral.
UACGAAGGGUGCAAGCGUUACUCGGAAUUACUGGGCGUAAAGAGUGCGCAGGCGGUUUUGUAAGACCGAGGUGAAAUCCCCGGGCUCAACCUGGGAACUGCCUUUGUGACUGCAAGGCUUGAGUGCGGCAGAGGGGGAUGGAAUUCCGCGUGUAGCAGUGAAAUGCGUAGAUAUGCGGAGGAACACCGAUGGCGAAGGCAAUCCCCUGGGCCUGCACUGACGCUCAUGCACGAAAGCGUGGGGAGCAAACAGG